RNAcentral lists this ribosomal RNA (460 nucleotides) under uncultured bacterium. RNAcentral's name for it is "partial 16S ribosomal RNA". It matches the Rfam family "Bacterial small subunit ribosomal RNA", at positions 338 to 795 of the family's 1533-position model. The record is from RNAcentral.
CCUACGGGAGGCAGCAGUGAGGAAUAUUGGUCAAUGGCCGGAAGGCUGAACCAGCCAAGCCGCGUGAAGGACGAAGGUGCCAAGCAUUGUAAACUUCUUUUGUCAAGGGACAAAAUCAGGCUCGAGAGCCUGACUGAGGGUCCUUGAAGAAACAGCAUGGGCUAACUCCGUGCCAGCAGCCGCGGUAAUACGGAGGAGGCGAGCGUUAUCCGGAGUUAUUGGGUUUAAAGGGUGCGUAGGCGGACUGUUAAGUCAGCGGUGAAAGUUUGUGGCUUAACCCUAGAAUUGCCGUUGAGACUGGUUGACUUGAGUAUAUGUGAGGUAGGCGGAAUGCGUGGUGUAGCGGUGAAAUGCAUAGAUAUCACGCAGAACUCCAAUUGUGAAGGCAGCUUACUAAACUAUAACUGACACUGAAGCACGAAAGCGUGGGGAUCAAACAGGAUUAGAUACCCCUGUAGUC